GGUAAAAGUCGUAACAAGGUUUCCGUAGGUGAACCUGCGGAAGGAUCAUUAUCAUGUAAUUCAGUCCCCUUGGCUGUGUUAUAUAUAUACCCACUCUGUGUACCUUCUCCUGUUGCUUCCGCUGGGUGUGUAAUUCGCCCGGCGGAAGGGUAAAAAUAACCUCUGAGUAUUGAUGAAAUCUCUGUCUGAACCGAAUAGAAAGAAAAAUGUUAAAACUUUCAGCAACGGAUCUCUUGGUUCUC
RNAcentral lists this unclassified non-coding RNA (242 nucleotides) under plant metagenome. RNAcentral describes it as "partial contains small subunit ribosomal RNA, internal transcribed spacer 1, and 5.8S ribosomal RNA". The stretch from base 1 to 51 matches the Rfam family "Eukaryotic small subunit ribosomal RNA", at positions 1781 to 1831 of the family's 1831-position model. The record is from RNAcentral.